This 602-nucleotide ribosomal RNA is filed under the name uncultured Acidobacteriota bacterium. RNAcentral's name for it is "bacterial SSU rRNA". It matches the Rfam family "Bacterial small subunit ribosomal RNA", at positions 8 to 644 of the family's 1533-position model. The record is from RNAcentral. Lineage: Bacteria; Pseudomonadati; Acidobacteriota.
AGAGUUUGAUCAUGGCUCAGAAUCAACGCUGGCGGCGCGCUUAACACAUGCAAGUCGAACGAGAAAGGGAGCAAUCCUGAGUAAAGUGGCGCACGGGUGAGUAACACGUGGGUAAUCUACCCUCUGGUGGGGAAUAACUCUGGGAAACCGGAGCUAAUACCGCAUAAGACCGGAAGGUGAAAGGCGCAAGUCGCCGGAGGAGGAGCCCGCGGCCGAUUAGCUGGAUGGUAGGGUAAUGGCCUACCAUGGCUGAGAUCGGUAGCCGGCCUGAGAGGGCACACGGCCACACUGGCACUGAAACACGGGCCAGACUCCUACGGGAGGCAGCAGUGGGGAAUCUUGCACAAUGGGGGAAACCCUGAUGCAGCGACGCCGCGUGAGCGAUGAAGCCCUUCGGGGUGUAAAGCUCUUUCGGCAGGGACGAUAAUGACGGUACCUGCAGAAGAAGCUGCGGCUAACUACGUGCCAGCAGCCGCGGUAAUACGUAGGCAGCGAGCGUUGUUCGGAGUUACUGGGCGUAAAGAGUGCGUAGGCGGUGCUCCAAGUCUGGUGUGAAAUCUCCCGGCUUAACCGGGAGGGUGCGCCGGAAACUGGGGUGCUGG